AGAAAAUGCGCGCAUAUGUGCGUUAGAGAACGUGGCCCAGCUGUAUGUACGUGACAUUCUCACUACUUUUGAAAGAUUCACAUUUAUUGUGAUACUUGAAGUCAGGAUCUAUAUUAAUUUAUUUACAAUGUCUGAGAUAACUGUACGAAAAGCUAGACGUGAGGACUGUGAAGCCAUUAGAGCACUCAUACAGGAAUUGGCGGACUUCGAGAAGAUGCCUGACGGUCCGCAAAAUGAUUCUAAAGCCUUAGAAAGAGAUGGCUUCGACGGGCAGCCAUUAUAUUUGUGU
Temnothorax curvispinosus is the source of this 289-nucleotide long non-coding RNA. RefSeq lists it as uncharacterized. The record is from RefSeq and is a predicted model, not a curated record. Lineage: Eukaryota; Metazoa; Arthropoda; Insecta; Hymenoptera; Formicidae. The transcript has 3 exons.